UUAUUAAUUUUGUCUUUCUUAUGCCAGGGUCAAACCCUGUGUUUGGACUGUUAUUGAUUGCUCUGCAGUCUUAUUUUCCCAAAGCUGUACAAUAGGUGAGUGCGUGAAAACUGAAGAGUUGAUACAAAAUAACGAAGGGUUAUUUUGAGAACUUGCUAGUCAAAAAGAAGCAGCAGGCUGUAAAGGUAAAACCAUGUCAGACAACGAGGCUCCUAAAAGACUGAGGCGUGAUAGGGAGAAACCAGUGUUAGAUAACAAUAUGCCUAAGAAACUGAAGUACUGGGUGGAGGAAAAAUCCUCAGAGAACAACACUCCUCAAAUAAAGUAUGAUGUUUUUGUUAGCUUCAGGGGUGAAGACAUCCGCCACACGCUUCUUAGCCAUUUGAUUGGUGCUUUUCAAAGAAAGAAAAUAUGUGCCUUUAUAGAUGCUGAACUUUAGAGGGGACAUGAAAUAGGACCAUCACUUUUUCAAGCAAUUGAACGAUCAGACAUCCUGUUGAUCAUAUUCUCACCACAUUAUGCUUCUUAUCAUUGGUGCUUAGAGGAACUAGAGAAAAUCCUUGAGUGCAGAGACAAGUAUGAACGGACUGUGAUCCCUGUUUUCUACAAUGUGCAACCCACAGAUGUACGACAUCAAUUGCGGACUUAUGAAAAUGCAUUUGUUGAGCAUGAAC
Vigna unguiculata (cowpea) is the source of this 674-nucleotide long non-coding RNA. The record is from RefSeq and is a predicted model, not a curated record. NCBI's taxonomy places the organism in Eukaryota, Viridiplantae, Streptophyta, Magnoliopsida, Fabales, Fabaceae.